Molecule: unclassified non-coding RNA, 429 nt
Filed under: uncultured Hydnum
Lineage: Eukaryota; Fungi; Basidiomycota; Agaricomycetes; Cantharellales; Hydnaceae
Description: sequence contains ITS2
Rfam family: 5.8S ribosomal RNA (bases 1-154)
Source: RNAcentral
AACUUUUGACAAUGGAUCUCUUUGCUCUCGCAUCGAUGAAGAACGCAGCGAAAUGCUAUAAGUAAUGUGAAUUGCAGAAUUCAGUGAAUCAUCGAAUCUUUGAACGCACCUUGCACUCUCUGGUAUUCCGGGGAGCACGCCUGUUCGAGUGUCAUUAAAACUCUCAAAUAAAGAAGGCGUUUUAGCCAUCUCUGUUUGGAUUUGGGCUUUGCUGCAUUAAUGUGGCUAGUCUUAAAUGUAUUAGCUGGUCCUCAUUGAGGUUUUGGUUCUACUCAGCGUGAUACUUAUCUAACGUUGAGGACAGUCUCAGAACUGGCCAUGGCUCUAUCUGGAUUGCUUCUACAUUGUCUUGAGGACAAUUGCUUACUUUCUGACCUCGAAUCAGGUGGGACUACCCGCUGAACUUAAGCAUAUCAAUACGCGGAGGCU